RNAcentral lists this ribosomal RNA (465 nucleotides) under Vreelandella stevensii. RNAcentral describes it as "partial 16S ribosomal RNA". It matches the Rfam family "Bacterial small subunit ribosomal RNA", at positions 338 to 795 of the family's 1533-position model. The record is from RNAcentral. Lineage: Bacteria; Pseudomonadati; Pseudomonadota; Gammaproteobacteria; Oceanospirillales; Halomonadaceae.
CCUACGGGCGGCAGCAGUGGGGAAUAUUGGACAAUGGGGGCAACCCUGAUCCAGCCAUGCCGCGUGUGUGAAGAAGGCCCUCGGGUUGUAAAGCACUUUCAGUGAGGAAGAACGCCUGGUGGUUAAUACCCAUCAGGAAAGACAUCACUCACAGAAGAAGCACCGGCUAACUCCGUGCCAGCAGCCGCGGUAAUACGGAGGGUGCGAGCGUUAAUCGGAAUUACUGGGCGUAAAGCGCGCGUAGGUGGCUUGAUCAGCCGGUUGUGAAAGCCCCGGGCUCAACCUGGGAACGGCAUCCGGAACUGGCAAGCUAGAGUGCAGGAGAGGAAGGUAGAAUUCCCGGUGUAGCGGUGAAAUGCGUAGAGAUCGGGAGGAAUACCAGUGGCGAAGGCGGCCUUCUGGACUGACACUGACACUGAGGUGCGAAAGCGUGGGUAGCAAACAGGAUUAGAUACCCCGGUAGUC